This 472-nucleotide ribosomal RNA is filed under the name uncultured bacterium. Its description in RNAcentral is "partial 16S ribosomal RNA". It matches the Rfam family "Bacterial small subunit ribosomal RNA", at positions 28 to 523 of the family's 1533-position model. The record is from RNAcentral.
GACGAACGCUGGCGGCGUGCUUAACACAUGCAAGUCGAACGGGAGUAUUGAAGAAGCUUGCUUUAGAGAUACUUUAGUGGCGGACGGGUGAGUAACGCGUGAGGAGCUGUCCUAUGCAGGGGGACAACAGUUGGAAACGACUGCUAAUACCCCAUAAGCCGAGAGGUAAAAGGAUUUAUCCGGCAAUGGAGGUACUCGCGUCCUAUCAGCUAGUAGGUGAGGUAACGGCUCACCUAGGCGAAGACGGGUAGCCGGCCUGAGAGGGCGAACGGCCACACUGGAACUGAGAUACGGUCCAGACUCCUACGGGAGGCAGCAGUGGGGAAUAUUGGGCAAUGGGGGGAACCCUGACCCAGCGACGCCGCGUGGGUGAAGAAAUCCCUCGGGAUGUAAAGCCCUGUUGUAUGGGAAGAGCGGAAGACGGUACCAUACGAGGAAGCCCCGGCAAACUACGUGCCAGCAGCCGCAGUAA